AUUGAACGCUGGCGGCAGGCCUAACACAUGCAAGUCGAGCGGAUGAAGGGAGCUUGCUCCUGGAUUCAGCGGCGGACGGGUGAGUAAUGCCUAGGAAUCUGCCUGGUAGUGGGGGAUAACGUCCGGAAACGGGCGCUAAUACCGCAUACGUCCUGAGGGAGAAAGUGGGGGAUCUUCGGACCUCACGCUAUCAGAUGAGCCUAGGUCGGAUUAGAUAGUUGGUGGGGUAAAGGCCUACCAAGGCGACGAUCCGUAACUGGUCUGAGAGGAUGAUCAGUCACACGGGAGCGGGAACACGGUCCAGAGUCCUGCGGGAGGCAGCAGUGGGGAAUGUUGGACAAUGGGGGAAAGCCUGAUCCAGCCAUGCCGCGUGUGUGAAGAAGGUCUUCGGAUUGUAAAGCACUUUAAGUUGGGAGGAAGGGCAGUAGGUUAAUACCUUGCUGUUUUGACGUUACCAACAGAAUAAGCACCGGCUAACUUCGUG
Molecule: ribosomal RNA, 484 nt
Filed under: uncultured bacterium
Lineage: Bacteria
Description: partial 16S ribosomal RNA
Rfam family: Bacterial small subunit ribosomal RNA
Source: RNAcentral